GGUCCUUAGCGUAGGGUCUCUUAACUUUUAACUAAAAAAGCUAAGGAACGGCCCUUAAAUAAGGGAUUUGAGAAAAGUCCCUUAGCGUUUUUAGUUAAAAGUUAAAGGACUCUACGCUAAGAGCC
This 125-nucleotide microRNA precursor is filed under the name Brassica rapa (field mustard). RNAcentral describes it as "MIR9563 microRNA precursor family". It matches the Rfam family "MIR9563 microRNA precursor family". The record is from Rfam by way of RNAcentral. Lineage: Eukaryota; Viridiplantae; Streptophyta; Magnoliopsida; Brassicales; Brassicaceae.